Molecule: ribosomal RNA, 1965 nt
Filed under: human gut metagenome
Description: bacterial LSU rRNA
Rfam family: Bacterial large subunit ribosomal RNA
Source: RNAcentral
AAAAGUAAGUAAGGGCACAUGGCGGAUGCCUUGGCUCUCGGAGGCGAUGAAGGACGUGAUAAGCUGCGAUAAGCUGCGGGUAGGUGCAAAUGACCUUUGAUCCGCGGAUUUCCGAAUGGGACAACCCGGUACUUUGAAGAAGUAUCAUCCUGCAUUGCAGGAGGCUAACGCAGGGAACUGAAACAUCUUAGUACCUGCAGGAAAAGAAAAUAAACAAUGAUUCCCCCAGUAGUGGCGAGCGAACGGGGAAUAGCCCAAACCAUCCAUGUUACGGCAUGGGUGGGGUUGUAGGACCACGCCGUGGCAAGAAAGUUGGUGAGCAGAAUGUUCUGGAAAGUACAGCCAUAGAGCAUGACAGCUGCGUAUGCGAAGCCAAGCGAAGCCUAGUGGUAUCCUGAGUAGCGCGGAGCACGAGGAAUUCUGCGUGAAUCUGCCGGGACCAUCCGGUAAGGCUAAAUACUCCCGAGAGACCGAUAGUGAACCAGUACUGUGAAGGAAAGGUGAAAAGCACUUCGAACAGAAGAGUGAAAUAGUUCCUGAAACCAUGUGCCUACAAGCGGUCGGAGCACCUUCUGGUGUGACGGCGUGCCUUUUGCAUAAUGAACCUACGAGUUACUUUUUCCGGCGAGGUUAAGGAUUUCAGAUCUGCAGCCGAAGCGAAAGCGAGUCUGAACAGGGCGUAUAGUCGGAAGGAGUAGACGCGAAACCAAGUGAUCUACCCUUGGGCAGGUUGAAGGAUGGGUAACACCAUCUGGAGGACCGAACCAAUAAGCGUUGAAAAGCUUCUGGAUGACCUGAGGGUGGGGGUGAAAGGCUAAUCAAACUUGGAGAUAGCUCGUACUCCCCGAAAUGCAUUUAGGUGCAGCCUUGACUUAUACUGGCAUGAGGUAGAGCGACUGAUAAGAUGCGAGGGCUUCACCGCCUAUCAAGUCUUGACAAACUCCGAAUGCGUGUCAGUUCUAUGUCAGGAGUGAGGGCAUGGGUGCUAAGGUCCAUGUCCUAAAGGAGAACAAUCCGGACCAACAGCUAAGGUCCCGAAAUGAAUACUAAGUUGAACUAACGAAGUCAGAUUGCUAAGACAGCUAGGAUGUUGGCUUGGAAGCAGCCAUUCAUUUAAAGAGUGCGUAACAGCUCACUAGUCGAGGAGUUUGGCGUGGAUAAUAAUCGGGCAUUAAGCAAUUUACCGAAGCUAUGGGAUCAGUAAUGAUCGGUAGGGGAGCAUUCCACUCCGCGUCGAAGGUGAAGCGUGAGCUUUGCUGGAGCGUGUGGAAAAGCAAAUGUAGGUAUAAGUAACGAUAAAGGGGGUGAGAAACCCCCUCGCCGAAAGACUAAGGUUUCCUGAUCAACGCUAAUCGGAUCAGGGUUAGUCGGGUCCUAAGGCUCAGCCGAACGGUGAGGCCGAUGGCAGAACAGGUUAAUAUUCCUGUACUACCUUAAAGAGUGACGUGGAGACGGAGCAGUGAUAGCGCCGCGGACUGACGGAAUAGUCCGUUGAAGGGUGUAGAUGUUGAUCUUUGCAGGCAAAUCCACAAAGAGAGUCGAACCUGAUAGUAUGGAACGUUCUUCGGAACAAUCCAAUAGUGCGUGUAAACAUACUCCCAAGAAAAUCCGCUAAACUUAAUCUUUAAGGUACCCGUACCGCAAACGGACACACGUAGUCGGGUUGAAUAUACUAAGGCGCUUGAGUGAUUCACGGUUAAGGAACUAGGCAAAUUGACCCUGUAACUUCGGGAUAAAGGGUCCCAACGAGAGUUGGGCGCAGAGAAUAGGUCCAGGCAACUGUUUAACAAAAACACAGGGCUGUGCCAAAUUGAAAGAUUACGUAUACAGCCUGACACCUGCCCGGUGCUGGAAGGUUAAGAGGAGAUGUCAUCGCAAGAGAAGCAUUGAAUUGAAGCCCCAGUAAACGGCGGCCGUAACUAUAACGGUCCUAAGGUAGCGAAAUUCCUUGUCGGGUAAGUUCCG